AUGAACGCUGGCGGCGUGCUUAACACAUGCAAGUCGAACGAUGAAGCCCAGCUUGCUGGGUGGAUUAGUGGCGAACGGGUGAGUAACACGUGAGUAACCUGCCCUUAACUCUGGGAUAAGCCUGGGAAACUGGGUCUAAUACCGGAUAGGAGCGUCCACCGCAUGGUGGGUGUUGGAAAGAUUUAUCGGUUUUGGAUGGACUCGCGGCCUAUCAGCUUGUUGGUGAGGUAAUGGCUCACCAAGGCGACGACGGGUAGCCGGCCUGAGAGGGUGACCGGCCACACUGGGACUGAGACACGGCCCAGACUCCUACGGGAGGCAGCAGUGGGGAAUAUUGCACAAUGGGCGAAAGCCUGAUGCAGCGACGCCGCGUGAGGGAUGACGGCCUUCGGGUUGUAAACCUCUUUCAGUAGGGAAGAAGCGAAAGUGACGGUACCCGCAGAAGAAGCACCGGCUAACUACGUG
Molecule: ribosomal RNA, 465 nt
Filed under: uncultured bacterium
Lineage: Bacteria
Description: partial 16S ribosomal RNA
Rfam family: Bacterial small subunit ribosomal RNA
Source: RNAcentral